RNAcentral lists this ribosomal RNA (1396 nucleotides) under uncultured bacterium. RNAcentral describes it as "partial 16S ribosomal RNA". It matches the Rfam family "Bacterial small subunit ribosomal RNA", at positions 26 to 1393 of the family's 1533-position model. The record is from RNAcentral.
GAACGAAGUUAUACGGCGUGGAUAAGACAUGCAAGUCGAACGAUCAUUAUGGGGUAGCAAUAUUCCGUGGUGGGAGUGGCGAAAGGGUGCGUAACAUGUGGGUAAUCUGCCGUGAAGUCUGGGAUAACUUGCUGAAAGGCGAGCUAAUACCGGAUGUGACUGUUAAGAGGCAUCUCUUGACUUUCAAAGUUGGGGACCGUAAGGCCUGACGCUUCAUGAUGAGCCCGCAACCUAUCAGCUAGUUGGUGAGGUAACGGCUUACCAAGGCUAAGACGGGUAGCUGGUCUGAGAGGACGACCAGCCACACUGGAACUGAGACACGGUCCAGACACCUACGGGUGGCAGCAGUCGAGAAUUUUUCACAAUGGGCGCAAGCCUGAUGGAGCGACGCCGCGUGGGGGAUGAAGGGCUUCGGUCCGUAAACCCCUGUCAUUUGUGAACAAACCUUGCGACCUAAUACGUCGCGAGCUGAUAGUAGCGAAAGAGGAAGGGACGGCUAACUCUGUGCCAGCAGCCGCGGUAAUACAGAGGUCCCAAGCGUUGUUCGGAUUUACUGGGCGUAAAGGGUGCGUAGGUGGUCAGGUAAGUCUGAUGUGAAAGCUCGGAGCUUAACUCCGAAAUGGCAUUGGAAACUACUUGGCUAGAGGGUUGGAGGGGAGACUGGAAUUCUCGGUGUAGCAGUGAAAUGCGUAGAUAUCGAGAGGAACACCAGUGGCGAAGGCGAGUCUCUGGACAACUCCUGACACUGAGGCACGAAAGCUAGGGGAGCAAACAGGAUUAGAUACCCUGGUAGUCCUAGCCGUAAACUGUGCACAUUUGCUGUGAAAGGAAUCGACCCCUUUUGUGGCGAAGCUAACGCGUUAAAUGUGCCGCCUGGGGAGUACGGUCGCAAGAUUAAAACUCAAAGAAAUUGACGGGGGCCUGCACAAGCGGUGGAGUAUGUGGCUUAAUUCGAUGCAACGCGAAGAACCUUACCUGGCCUUGACAUGUACGUAGUAGAAGGGUGAAAGCCUGACGAGGUAGCAAUACCAGCGUACACAGGUGCUGCAUGGCUGUCGUCAGCUCGUGUCGUGAGAUGUUGGGUUAAGUCCCGCAACGAGCGCAACCCCCGUCCUUAGUUGCUACCAUUUAGUUGAGCACUCUAAGGAGACUGCCGGUGAUAAGCCGCGAGGAAGGUGGGGAUGACGUCAAGUCCUCAUGGCCCUUACGGGCUGGGCUACACACGUGCUACAAUGGCGGUGACAAUGGGAUGCUAAGGGGCGACCCUUCGCAAAUCUCAAAAAGCCGUCUCAGUUCGGAUUGGGCUCUGCAACUCGAGCCCAUGAAGUUGGAAUCGCUAGUAAUCGUGGAUCAGCACGCCACGGUGAUACGUAUCCCCGGGCAUUGUACACACCGC